CCUACGGGAGGCAGCAGUGAGGAAUAUUGGUCAAUGGGCUUACGCCUGAACCAGCCAAGUCGCGUGAGGGAAGACUGCCCUAUGGGUUGUAAACCUCUUUUGUCAGGGAGCAAUUGGCGCUACGUGUAGCGUUAUCGAGAGUACCUGAAGAAAAAGCAUCGGCAAACUCCGUGCCAGCGGCCGGGGUAAUACGGAGGAGGAGGGCGUUAUCCGGAUUUAGUGGGUUUAAAGGGUGCGUAGGCGGAAUGCCAAGUCAGCGGUAAAAUCGCGGGGCUCAACCUCGCUCCGCCGUUGAAACUGGCGUUCUUGAGUGGGCGAGAGGUAUGCGGAAUGCGUGGUGUAGCGGUGAAAUGCAUAGAUAUCACGCAGAACUCCGAUUGCGAAGGCAGCAUACCGGCGCCCAACUGACGCUGAAGCACGAAAGCGUGGGUAUCGAACAGGAUUAGAUACCCUUGUAGUC
Molecule: ribosomal RNA, 460 nt
Filed under: uncultured bacterium
Lineage: Bacteria
Description: partial 16S ribosomal RNA
Rfam family: Bacterial small subunit ribosomal RNA
Source: RNAcentral